RNAcentral lists this long non-coding RNA (1523 nucleotides) under Piliocolobus tephrosceles (Ugandan red Colobus). RNAcentral's name for it is "lncRNA (ENSPTEG00000002584.1)". The record is from RNAcentral. Lineage: Eukaryota; Metazoa; Chordata; Mammalia; Primates; Cercopithecidae.
UAUUUGUAUAGCCUAUAAAAAAAUUACAUUACAUUAAUUAUUUUUUUUUUUUUUUUUUUUUUUUUUUUUUUUUACUUAUAAUCAAUUUAAACGAUUAUUUAUUCAUUUGCUUAUUUUUUAUUUUUCUAGGAAUGACGUUUAAAUAUUUUUCUUUAUUCUUGAAAGAAGAAUAUAAAAUUUCCCCCACAUUAAUGUGUAUUCUUAACAUUGUUAUUCCUUUGUUAUUAACCCUUUUUACUUAUAGUACCAAAAAAAAAAAAAAAAAAAAAAAAAAAAAAAAAAAAAAAUAUAUAUGUACAUAUAUAUGUGCAUAUAUACAGAUAUACAUAUUGAUUCAAUAUUUCAAAUACAUAAAAAAUUGCACAUAUCUAGUAUUCAUAUUAUUUGGUAUGUUCCUUUAAAAAAAGCCCUUUUUUUUUAUGAUUUACCAUAGUAACACGUUUUUUUCUUUUGCUGGCAUUAAUUUAUUUAUUUAUUUAUAAAUUUAUUUAUUCAUUUUAUUCUAAUUCAGUUUCUCAAAGAUUAUCUAAAUCAAUAGGGAGGGCACAAGUUUCUUUUUUUUUUACUACCAUUGGCUUUGUGUAAAUAUUUAAAAUUUUAUCUUAAAAUAAACAAAAAUACUGUGCAUAUAUUUAUAAUCAUUUUUUUUCUUUCACAAUUAUAUAUAUAUAUAUAUAUAUAUAUAUAUAUAUGCACAUUUCCUAAUCAGGUUAUUAUGUUCUUUGCUUUAUAUAAAUGAUUAUGAAGACGUUCUAAAAAUUCACAUAUUUAGGUACUUAUAAAAUAAAAUUAUUUAUAUUUAUAUAUGCACAGAUAUAUAUGUAUGUACACAUUUGAAUAUUACUUAUAUCACGUCUUUAACUCCCUUUGUUUAACUCCCUUUUUUUAUAGGAGCGUUUUUCAAAAUUGUACUAACUCUAUAGAUAAAAGUAUUUUAUACGACUUUAUAGACACUGAAAAAUACACAGGACGAUGGAUGGGUUUACAAAGUUUCUACUAUUUGGUUUGGUCAAUCAGUGCAUAUUUUGGUAUGAAUACAUUAACAUAUAAAAAAAAAAAGCACAUUUCUUUUUUUUUUUUCUUUUUUUUUUUUACAGUUUAUGGCUAGCCCAUUUACUAGCAUGAAUAAUUUUUUUUUUUUUUUUUUUUUUUUUUUUUUUUUUUUUUUUUUUUUUUUGUUAUAUAGGUGGUUGGAUAUCUGACAUUUCUUCUUACAGAAAUACAUUUAAAAUCACAAGUAAGCAAUUCAUAUUUGUUCUUUUAUUGUCAUAAUUAUAUAAUUGUUUCAUUAAAUGUGUUGAUGUUAUUUUAUUCGUACCUGAUAUAUAUCUCAUUAAUAAUAUAUUUUAAUUUGCAAUAAUGCGCAAUUCAUUAUUUUUUUAUCAUUUCGAUUUUUGUCAAUUCUGUUAUUAUUAUUUUUAUUUUAUUUUAGCUUGGUUUUACCUAUUAUCACUAAUAUUAUAUGCCCCUCUUUUGUGGCUUGUACCAAUAAAAGAAUCUUUUUAACAAAAUGAUAGCGGACC